RNAcentral lists this ribosomal RNA (437 nucleotides) under uncultured bacterium. Its description in RNAcentral is "bacterial SSU rRNA". It matches the Rfam family "Bacterial small subunit ribosomal RNA", at positions 501 to 940 of the family's 1533-position model. The record is from RNAcentral.
CUACGUGCCAGCAGCCGCGGUAAUACGGAAGGUCCAGGCGUUAUCCGGAUUUAUUGGGUUUAAAGGGAGCGUAGGCGGACGAUUAAGUCAGCUGUGAAAGUUUGCGGCUCAACCGUAAAAUUGCAGUUGAAACUGGUUGUCUUGAGUGCACGCAGGGAUGUUGGAAUUCAUGGUGUAGCGGUGAAAUGCUUAGAUAUCAUGAAGAACUCCGAUCGCGAAGGCAUAUGUCCGGAGUGCAACUGACGCUGAGGCUCGAAAGUGCGGGUAUCGAACAGGAUUAGAUACCCUGGUAGUCCGCACAGUAAACGAUGAAUACUCGCAGUAUGCGAUAUAGUGUAUGCUGCCAAGUGAAAACGUUAAGUAUUCCACCUGGGGAGUACGCCGGCAACGGUGAAACUCAAAGGAAUUGACGGGGGCCCGCACAAGCGGAGGAACAU